GGGCGGGUGGCGUAAUGGUAGCCGCGCCAGUUUUAGGAACUGGUUCCGUAAGGAGUGGAGGUUCGAGUCCUCUCCCGCCCACCA
This 84-nucleotide transfer RNA is filed under the name bacterium. RNAcentral's name for it is "tRNA-Leu". It matches the Rfam family "tRNA". From Rfam's summary of the family: Transfer RNA (tRNA) molecules are approximately 80 nucleotides in length. Their secondary structure includes four short double-helical elements and three loops (D, anti-codon, and T loops). Further hydrogen bonds mediate the characteristic L-shaped molecular structure. tRNAs have two regions of fundamental functional importance: the anti-codon, which is responsible for specific mRNA codon recognition, and the 3' end, to which the tRNAs corresponding amino acid is attached (by aminoacyl-tRNA synthetases). tRNAs cope with the degeneracy of the genetic code in two manners: having more than one tRNA (with a specific anti-codon) for a particular amino acid; and 'wobble' base-pairing, i.e. permitting non-standard base-pairing at the 3rd anti-codon position. The record is from RNAcentral.